UGGCUCAAUUGGUAGAGCAUGGUGUUUGCAACGCCAAGGUUGUGGGUUCGAUUCCCAC
Non-coding RNA from Salmo salar (Atlantic salmon), 58 nucleotides. The record is from Rfam. NCBI's taxonomy places the organism in Eukaryota, Metazoa, Chordata, Actinopteri, Salmoniformes, Salmonidae.